Long non-coding RNA from Pyrus x bretschneideri (Chinese white pear), 623 nucleotides. RefSeq lists it as uncharacterized. NCBI's taxonomy places the organism in Eukaryota, Viridiplantae, Streptophyta, Magnoliopsida, Rosales, Rosaceae. The transcript is spliced from 2 exons. The record is from RefSeq and is a predicted model, not a curated record.
AUAUAUAUAUAUAUAUAUAUAUAUAUAUAUAUCCUCAUUUAUGAAUCUCCUGCCGAUCGAUCGAUGUACAUUCUAGCCGUUGUAUUGGAACGUAUUUAUGAUGCAUCCAACUGCAUAUACAGUUUCUUAGUUCAACUAAUAUGGUAUCAUGGCCGAGGAACAAAUGGGUGAAUCUUCUGCUGUAUUCUUCUGCAAAUGAUGGGGUUUCUAUGGUGGUUUUCUGAGCUGCUGGCAUAAAGGGAUAUCAGGUUUUCCGUGUUCAUAUAUGCUCUUGUUUCGCAUGUAAGGUGUUUGUGAUAUUGUAUGAGUAAAGUUUGAUAAGAUUUUCAUGGAUAAUUGUUUGAAGGCCGAUACCAUUUCUUGCCAUGAUAUGAUAUGUUUGAUGAAUGUGAUGAACAAUGUUUGAUAAGGCCGAUGCUGAUUGUUUAAUUUCAAUGAAAUUGGUUGAAAGUUUGAGUUUCUUGCUACGGAAGGCCGAUGCCAGUAGUAAAGAAUUGUUGAAGAAUAGUUGUUAAGGCCAAUGCCAGUUACAUUGUUUCAAUAAUAUUGAUUGAAAGAUUGAGUGUUUUGCUAUCAAAAGCUGAAGCCAAUAGUCAAGAAAGUGUGUUGUAUAUUUGCUGAUA